RNAcentral lists this ribosomal RNA (1389 nucleotides) under Triticum aestivum (bread wheat). Its description in RNAcentral is "partial small subunit ribosomal RNA". The record is from RNAcentral. Lineage: Eukaryota; Viridiplantae; Streptophyta; Magnoliopsida; Poales; Poaceae.
AUGGCGAUACGCCUCCCGGUUUCUAACGCUUGCCCAUCUGGAAUUGCUAACCCGCAGCGCCAGCAGCGUGGCCACGCCUCCACGACGUCCACCGCCGGGGCCGUUGCCGCGGUUGCCGCACCGCCCUCGACAUUCGCCCCCCAGACGACGCGGCUCUCGGCGCCGUCGAUCAUCGCGGUGAACACCAGGCAUGCGGCCCCGGUGGCUCCGGUCUUCGCGCCGGUGAGGAGAAAUGGUGACAAGACGACGCUGGCGAGCAUGUGGCGGGAGAUCCAGGGCGAAGGCGACUGGGCCGGCCUGGUGGAACCGCUGCACCCGCUCCUCCGCGCCGAGAUCGUCCGCUACGGCGAGCUCGUGGCGGCGACCUACAAGGCGUUCGACCUAGACGCCGGCUCCAAGCGGUACCUCAACUGUAAGUACGGCAAGGCACGGAUGCUCCAGGAGGUAGGCAUGGCCGGCGCCGGGUACGCCGUCACGAGGUACAUUUACGCCGCGCCGGACGUCUCGCUCCCUGGCGUGGCAGGGGCGGCUUGCCCGAGCCGGUGGGUUGGGUACGUGGCGGUGGCAUCGGACGACACCGCGCGCCGGCUCGGCCGUCGGGACAUUGUCGUGUCCUUCCGGGGUACGGUGACAGGGUCGGAGUGGGUGGCCAACAUGAUGAGCUCGCUUGCGCCGGCGCGGUUCGACCCAGCAGAUCCUCGGUCAGAUGUGAAGGUCGAGUCCGGAUUCCUGUCCCUGUACACAUCGGAAGACGGCGCCGGCAGGUUUACCUGCGGCAGCUGCCGGAACCAGGUCCUCUCCGAGGUGACACGGCUCGUUAAACAAUAUAAGCACGAGGACGUGAGCAUCACGCUGGCCGGACACAGCAUGGGCAGCUCCCUGGCCCUCCUCCUUGGCUACGACCUCGCCGAGCUCGGCCUGAAUCGCGACGGAAGGGGCAACCAUGUGCCCAUCACCGUCUACUCCUUCGCCGGCCCAAGGGUCGGGAACAUGGGGUUCAAGAACCGGUGCGACGAGCUGGGCGUGAAGGUCCUGAGAAUGGUGAACGUGAACGAUCCAAUCACAAAGCUGCCCGGCAUCUUCUUGAACGAGAAAUCUAGAGUUUUGGGUGGCAGGUUGGAGCUUCCAUGGAGCUGUGCAUGCUACACGCAUAUCGGCGUCGAGCUUGCCCUAGACUUCUUCAAGGCAAGGGACCCUGCUUGCGUGCACGACUUGGAGGCUUACCUAGGCUUCCUCAAGUGCCUAAAGGGGACGAAGGUUAAGAAACAAGGGGCGGAGCUGGCAGGCAAGGCAAGGAAAUUCGAUCUACGGCAAAGUUUUGAUGCUGCUUGGAGGUGGCAAAUGACUGCGAUUCAAGUUAGUGACUUGGUGCAAUCCUUAGGGAUUUAG